UGGUGGGGUAGCUUAACUAAAGCGUUUGGCUUUUAACCGAAACAUGGUAGUUAUCAAUCUACCUCCCGUCAU
This 72-nucleotide transfer RNA is filed under the name Anadara vellicata. RNAcentral describes it as "tRNA-Lys". It matches the Rfam family "tRNA". Rfam says of the family: Transfer RNA (tRNA) molecules are approximately 80 nucleotides in length. Their secondary structure includes four short double-helical elements and three loops (D, anti-codon, and T loops). The record is from RNAcentral. Lineage: Eukaryota; Metazoa; Mollusca; Bivalvia; Arcoida; Arcidae.